CACGGGGGGAGCAAGCGUUGUUCGGAAUCACUGGGCGUAAAGGGCGUGUAGGCGGUCAGGUUAGUGAGAUGUGAAAUGCCCCGGCUCACCCGGGGACCUGCAUCUCAAACUGCCUGGCUUGAGUAUGGGAGAGGAUGAGGGAAUUCCUGGUGUAGCGGUGAAAUUCGUAGAUAUCGGGAGGAACACCGGUGGCGAAGGCGGCGACCUGGGUAGAUACUGACGCUGAGGUGCGAAAGCGUGGGGAGCAAACAGG
RNAcentral lists this ribosomal RNA (253 nucleotides) under uncultured bacterium. RNAcentral describes it as "partial 16S ribosomal RNA". It matches the Rfam family "Bacterial small subunit ribosomal RNA", at positions 524 to 776 of the family's 1533-position model. The record is from RNAcentral.